AUCUAGAGGAACGCCGAAGGUGAAGACAGGCGACUGGGCCGAUUCUGACGCUCAGGCACGAAAGCGUGGGGAGCAAACAGGAUUAGAUACCCUGGUAGUCCACGCCGUAAACGUUGUGCACUAGAUCCUGGAGGUACUGACACCGUCGGGGUCGAAGAUAACUUGCUAAGUGCACCGCCUGGGGAGUACGGUCGCAAGGCUAAAACUCAAAGGAAUUGACGGGGGCUCACACAAGCGGUGGAGCAUGUGGCUUAAUUCGAGGCAACGCGAAGAACCUUACCUGGGUUUGACAUGCUUGGAUUAGCCUGUCGAAAGACAGGUGACGCUAAUUCUAGUGGAACUUGCACAGGUGCUGCAUGGCUGUCGUCAGCUCGUGCUGUGAAGUGUCGGGUUAAGUCCCUUAACGAGCGAAACCCCUGCCGCUAGUUGCCAUCAGGUCAAGCUGAGCACUCUAGCGGGACUGCCGGUGUCAAACCGGAGGAAGGUGGGGAUGACGUCAAGUCCUCAUGGCCUUUAUGCCCAGGGAUGCACACGUGCUACAAUGGUAGGUACAACGCGACGCGAUGCCGCGAGGCGGAGCAAAUCGCAAAAAACCUGCCCCAGUUCGGAUCGCAGUCUGCAACUCGACUGCGUGAAGUUGGAAUCGCUAGUAAUCGCGUAUCAGCUAUGACGCGGUGAAUACGUUCCUGAGCCUUGUACACACCGCCCGUCAGGUCAUGGAAGCCGGGAGCACCCGAAGUCGCACCGCCUCAGGUGUGCC
Molecule: ribosomal RNA, 760 nt
Filed under: uncultured organism
Description: bacterial SSU rRNA
Rfam family: Bacterial small subunit ribosomal RNA
Source: RNAcentral